AACGAACGCUGGCGGCAGGCCUAAUACAUGCAAGUCGAACGCUCCGCAAGGAGAGUGGCAGACGGGUGAGUAACGCGUGGGAACCUUUCCAGUGGUACGGAAUAGCCCAGGGAAACUCGGGGUAAUACCGUAUAAGCCCUUACGGGAAAGAUUUAUCGCCAUUGGAUGGGCCCGCGUCGGAUUAGCUAGUUGGUGGGGUAAUGGCCUACCAAGGCGACGAUCCGUAGCUGGUCUGAGAGGAUGANCAGCCACACUGGGACUGAGACACGGCCCAGACUCCUACGGGAGGCAGCAGUAGGGAAUAUUGGACAAUGGGCGCAAGCCUGAUCCAGCCAUGCCGCGUGAGUGACGAAGGCCUUAGGGUUGUAAAGCUCUUUUGGCGGGAAGAUAAUGACGGUACCCGCAGAAUAAGCUCCGGCUAACUUCGUGCCAGCAGCCGCGGU
Molecule: ribosomal RNA, 443 nt
Filed under: uncultured bacterium
Lineage: Bacteria
Description: bacterial SSU rRNA
Rfam family: Bacterial small subunit ribosomal RNA
Source: RNAcentral